This 461-nucleotide ribosomal RNA is filed under the name uncultured bacterium. RNAcentral describes it as "partial 16S ribosomal RNA". It matches the Rfam family "Bacterial small subunit ribosomal RNA", at positions 29 to 523 of the family's 1533-position model. The record is from RNAcentral.
AACGAACGCUGGCGGCAUGCUUAACACAUGCAAGUCGAACGGUCUUAUGGGGCUUGCUCCAUAAGAUAGUGGCAGACGGGUGAGUAACACGUGGGAACGUACCCUAAGGUUCGGAAUAACAGUUGGAAACGACUGAUAAUACCGGAUAUCUCCGAGAGGAGAGAGGUUUACCGCCUUGGGAGCGGCCCGCGUCUGAUUAGGUAGUUGGUGAGGUAAAGGCUCACCAAGCCGAUGAUCAGUAGCUGGUUUGAGAGAAUGAUCAGCCACACUGGGACUGAGACACGGCCCAGACUCCUACGAGAGGCAGCAGUGGGGAAUAUUGGACAAUGGGGGAAACCCUGAUCCAGCAAUGCCGCGUGAGUGAAGAAGGCCUUCGGGUUGUAAAGCUCUUUUGUCCGUGACGAUAAUGACGGUAGCGGACGAAUAAGCACCGGCUAACUUCGUGCCAGCAGCCGCGGUAA